Small nuclear RNA from Suncus etruscus (white-toothed pygmy shrew), 104 nucleotides. NCBI's taxonomy places the organism in Eukaryota, Metazoa, Chordata, Mammalia, Eulipotyphla, Soricidae. The record is from RefSeq and is a predicted model, not a curated record.
GUGCUCGCUUUGGCAGUACAUAUACUAAAAUUGGAAUGAUACAGAGAAUAGUAUGGCCCCUGUGCAAGGACGGCACGCAAAUUCAUGAAGCAUUCCAUAUUUUU